UGAAGUUACACUCUCUAGGUGAGCAAUUACGUGCAGCACGUAUAAAGAAAGAAUUAAGUUUAUAUGAUG
Molecule: small nucleolar RNA, 69 nt
Filed under: Streptococcus sp. ACS2
Lineage: Bacteria; Bacillati; Bacillota; Bacilli; Lactobacillales; Streptococcaceae
Source: RNAcentral